RNAcentral lists this long non-coding RNA (1125 nucleotides) under Equus caballus (horse). RNAcentral describes it as "lncRNA (ENSECAG00000047971.1)". The record is from RNAcentral. Lineage: Eukaryota; Metazoa; Chordata; Mammalia; Perissodactyla; Equidae.
AUUUGCCCUGAGCUAACAUCUGUGCCAAUCCUCCUGCAUUUUGCAUGUGGGAUGCUACCACAGCAUAGCCUGAUGAGCAGUGCAUAGGUCCAUGCCCAGGAUCUGAACCCACGAACCCUGGACAACCAAAGUGGAGUGCAUGAACCCAACCACUACGCCACUGGGCCACCCCUGAAGAAACUGAUUCUCAGAGGCAUUGUAUAGAGUGCCCUAGAUCUCACCACUAGUAAAUGGAAGAAGUGGGGCUCCACCCGAAAUCUGUCUGAUUCAAAAACUCAACUCUGCCACAAUCCGGUCUUAAUAACGCAGCGUGGAUCAUGAAAACGGAAUAGAUUUGCAAAGGACAACUUACCGUGACACUUUUCUCCUGCCUUAAGUGAUCAAAAUAUUUCCAACUCAGAAUAGAGAAAGGAGAUGUCUAUGCUGUGUCUAACACUAAAUACAGACAUAUUUAUAAAACUGUCAAUGGGAAGGGGUCCUUGAAUCUGAUGACCCAUAGUCAUUAGUCAGACCCUUAAAAUUUGCAAAGAAAACAAGUGCACAGAUUCCCAUUAAUGAGUGCGUUCUGUAGGAAGACAUGAAAGAAUGUGAGAUAGCAUUUAUAUCUCAGACUCUGUGGACUAUAUACUGAAACUGGCAAGGGCUCUACGCUUUACAGAAAUCUGAUGAGCUGGGUAGUAUCAGUUGGGGCAGCAAAGUGAGAAGAGACCCAGAUUUUCUCUGUUCAUAUAACCGUUCACUCUUUCCAGCUAAGAAGAUUUGACUGGGCGGGUUUGUUCCACUCAAUCAGCAGUGCCUUAUUGUGUAGAGUGAAACCCAGGGUCUCUGUUCUUUUACAUGGCAGCCUUUGACCGCAGCAAAUUAAUUUCCAGUUUGCAAUCAGUUACAGGUAUAGUAAUAGGAUUGGCUUCAUUAAAAAAAACAAAAGAUAACAUGAACAAUGAUUUCUAGGGAGGAAUUAAUCACUUGUUUUUUUCAAAGAGCACUGUGUAUGUGUGACCAACAUGGACUCAGGAACUUUGCAGAUUUCUCCUGCAACCUAUAGCACCAUACAAAGAUCUCUCUCAUUUCUUAAUUUAAUAAUAACAGUAAUAAUUAUAACUAAAGGUACUCAUUCUACCCCAG